AGCCUUUAGGGUUUAGGGACCACCUAUGAAAGAGAAAUUCAAUAUGGGACCUUGGUAGGAGCAAGCAAGACAUUGUUGAGAUUCUCCAAAUUCCGAAAGUUCCUGCCUUUUUUCCUUCUUCCUGGGUGGAACAUGAGGAGAGCCCUUCCUAUAGGGAUAGAUUGUAACUCAAUGAAACGGGCACCGUGGCGUGAUGUGGCUUUGGUACAUCAGUUCAUCACACAAACCUUUAAUUUCAGUGAGGACGAGAUUGUAGUCAAUAAGGAUGAUGACGCUGACAACCUGCCAACCAAACAAACUAUCAUGCAGGCUCUGCACAACCUUACACAUGAUAUCAAAGCGGGAGACACGCUACUAUUCUAUUUUUCAGGCCACAACACUACUGGUCUGUACGACCCAUCUUUAUUUAUAAACGACUUAGAUUCCAUCCAAGAGACUCAUGGUGGCCAAGUUAUAAACUUGGAGCUUGCUCAAAAGGCUAUGGAGAAUCUUGGAGAAAUACCUAGUCUCUGUUGCAGUCACAACAGCCAUGCUUAUGCUUCUUUUCUGGGCUCAUCCAUUUUGGACUAUAGUUUGGUUCAUGUUUCUUUAUGCUUAGUUUGGUUUGCAUCCAACUAACUAUGAGAUUUGGAUUUGGAUUGUUGUUUUCUGCUAUUUAAGUUUUAUAUUUGAAUUUUGUACGCACGUUCUAUUAGCUACCUAUUGCAAAGUAUGAAUCAUCUCUGAAGAUUAGCUUUCUUAUAUGUCUCAUUGGCGGAA
Lotus japonicus is the source of this 759-nucleotide long non-coding RNA. RefSeq lists it as uncharacterized. The record is from RefSeq and is a predicted model, not a curated record. NCBI's taxonomy places the organism in Eukaryota, Viridiplantae, Streptophyta, Magnoliopsida, Fabales, Fabaceae. The transcript is spliced from 3 exons.